ACACCUCAACUCCUCAUGGUUUGCCAUGAUGAGCUUGGACUUUGGGGGUCUUGCUGGCCUAUGGUUGGCUCCUCUCAAAUGGAUCAGCUUGCCAGUGUUUGGUGGCACCACAGGUGUGAUAAAUAUCUACGCUUGUGGUGUUCCACUAUGCAACCUUCAGCAAUGAAGGUUCACUGGAGCUCACAAAUGUCUCUCCUCAUCGAGGACAGCUUUUUAAA
This 218-nucleotide unclassified non-coding RNA is filed under the name uncultured Thelephoraceae. RNAcentral's name for it is "sequence contains ITS2". The record is from RNAcentral. Lineage: Eukaryota; Fungi; Basidiomycota; Agaricomycetes; Thelephorales; Thelephoraceae.